GCAAUUUUUUCCCCUCCAGUGAGGAGAUACUAGGGAAGGCCUCUGGGUUCACAGCCAAAUUGCCUUAAUGGUUUGCCUGCUGUCCAGCGAGACCCAGCAGAGCGAGCGGGACGGCGGUGCGCCGGGCCGCGGGGACCCACGCAGUCACAGCUCCGGUGCCCGGCGAGCGGCCUCGCGCGCGGCUCGGGGCCGGGCCCUGCCCGGCCGUCUGCAAGAGCCGCGGGACCCCCGACGCGCGCGCACGGACCGAGGGGUCGGUCGCCCCACGCCUGGCAUCACGUUCCAGUGCGGACAGCCAAAGGGCUGAGCGGAGGCAGCAGCCCCGACCCAGCGGUAGCGCCGCGCCCUGCCCGAGAGAGGCGCGCCACGCCGGGCCGGAGCCGGUGGCCCGGGAGCCCGCGGGGUCCGGAGCGGAGCCCGCAAUGCAGACGCGCCGGCGAGCCCAGCCGGGGCCCGCGCCCCCCGCGUCCCCGCGCCCCGGCCCCGCGGUCGCCCGGCCUCAACGCCCACCUGCCUCGCCACGGAGCUCGGGAAGGAGACGGCGCCGGCCCCGCGCCCGGAGAGCGCACCUGCCUGGUCCGCGGGCCCGGCCCCGCCGCCCGCCGGCAGCACCGCGGCCAGCGCCGUCUUACCUGCCGCGCCGCGCCGCUCCGCUCCGCCAGCCCGCAGCGCCGCAGUCGCCGCUACCCGACUUCCAUUUUCUCUCGCUUUAAAGGAAAACCAGAUCAGCUGUUUUGCUCCCGCUCGGGCUCCGCGGCCCCCUCCCCAGCUGCCGCUCGCGGUCCCGGUGGCCUCUCCUCCCCCGCCUCCUCCCGCGCUCCGCUCCGCCCCUCGCGCCCCUCCGCUCCGCCCGCGGCCGCGCACAACGCCCG
This 872-nucleotide long non-coding RNA is filed under the name Homo sapiens (human). RNAcentral describes it as "non-protein coding lnc-CHRNA7-4:1". Lineage: Eukaryota; Metazoa; Chordata; Mammalia; Primates; Hominidae. The record is from RNAcentral.